This 467-nucleotide ribosomal RNA is filed under the name uncultured bacterium. RNAcentral's name for it is "partial 16S ribosomal RNA". It matches the Rfam family "Bacterial small subunit ribosomal RNA", at positions 28 to 507 of the family's 1533-position model. The record is from RNAcentral.
GAUGAACGCUGACAGAAUGCUUAACACAUGCAAGUCCACUUGAAUUUGGGUUUUUAACUUAGGUUUGGGUGGCGGACGGGUGAGUAACGCGUAAAGAACUUGCCUCACAGCUAGGGACAACAUUUGGAAACGAAUGCUAAUACCUAAUAUUAUGAUAAUAGGGCAUCCUAUAAUUAUGAAGGCUAUAAGCGCUGUGAGAGAGCUUUGCGUCCCAUUAGCUAGUUGGAGAGGUAACGGCUCACCAAGGCGAUGAUGGGUAGCCGGCCUGAGAGGGUGAUCGGCCACAAGGGGACUGAGACACGGCCCUUACUCCUACGGGAGGCAGCAGUGGGGAAUAUUGGACAAUGGACCGAGAGUCUGAUCCAGCAAUUCUGUGUGCACGAUGAAGUUUUUCGGAAUGUAAAGUGCUUUCAGUUGGGAAGAAACAAAUGACGGUACCAACAGAAGAAGUGACGGCUAAAUACGUG